AUGCACGCUGGCGGCGUGCCUCAUACAUGCCAGUCGCGCGAACAGACGAGGAGCUUGCUCCUCUGACGUUAGCGGCGGACGGGUGAGUAACACGUGGAUAACCUACCUAUAAGACUGGGAUAACUUCGGGAAACCGGAGCUAAUACCGGAUAAUAUAUUGAACCGCAUGGUUCAAUAGUGAAAGACGGUUUUGCUGUCACUUAUAGAUGGAUCCGCGCCGCAUUAGCUAGUUGGUAAGGUAACGGCUUACCAAGGCAACGAUGCGUAGCCGACCUGAGAGGGGGAUCGGCCACACUGGAACUGAGACACGGUCCAGACUCCUAAGGGAGGCAGCAGUAGGGAAUCUUCCGCAAUGGGCGAAAGCCUGACGGAGCAACGCCGCGUGAGUGAUGAAGGUCUUCGGAUCGUAAAACUCUGUUAUUAGGGAAGAACAAAUGUGUAAGUAACUAUGCACGUCUUGACGGUACCUAAUCAGAAAGCCACGGCUAACUACGUG
RNAcentral lists this ribosomal RNA (496 nucleotides) under uncultured bacterium. Its description in RNAcentral is "partial 16S ribosomal RNA". It matches the Rfam family "Bacterial small subunit ribosomal RNA", at positions 29 to 507 of the family's 1533-position model. The record is from RNAcentral.